CCUGUUGCUUAUUCAUUCAGAGUGGGAAAGCGCCAGCCGAGCGGCCAGCCAGUGCGGGGCUGGCCAUGUAAGGCCCACAGGCGGUCCUGCCCGCCCGGUGCCCUGCGGAGAGCCUCGUGCAGCCCUGGGCACCGCCCCUGCCCUGCCCUGACCCCUUGGCCUUGAAAUGCUGUCAUCGGAGGAGCCGUCCCGCUCGGGACAAGGCCAGCAUGGACAAAGCUAGAGCUGGGGCAAGCAAGGAGCCUUCCUGUCCUCGAGGCCGUGGGAAGAGAAGCACGCCCAGGGGGCCACUCCUGAGAGCCUCUCUGUCCACCAGGCCUCUGCAGAGGGGUCACCAUGGCUCUGGCCCGAGGCAGCCGGCAGCUGGGGGCCCUGGUGUGGGGCGCCUGCCUGUGCGUGCUGGUGCACGGGCAGCAGGCGCAGCCCGGGCAGGGCUCGGACCCCGCCCGCUGGCGGCAGCUGAUCCAGUGGGAGAACAACGGGCAGGUGUACAGCUUGCUCAACUCGGGCUCAGAGUACGUGCCGGCCGGACCUCAGCGCUCCGAGAGUAGCUCCCGGGUGCUGCUGGCCGGCGCGCCCCAGGCCCAGCAGCGGCGCAGCCACGGGAGCCCCCGGCGUCGGCAGGCGCCGUCCCUGCCCCUGCCGGGGCGCGUGGGCUCGGACACCGUGCGCGGCCAGGCGCGGCACCCAUUCGGCUUUGGCCAGGUGCCCGACAACUGGCGCGAGGUGGCCGUCGGGGACAGCACGGGCAUGGCCCGGGCCCGCACCUCCGUCUCCCAGCAACGGCACGGGGGCUCCGCCUCCUCGGUCUCGGCUUCGGCCUUCGCCAGCACCUACCGCCAGCAGCCCUCCUACCCGCAGCAGUUCCCCUACCCGCAGGCGCCCUUCGUCAGCCAGUACGAGAACUACGACCCCGCGUCGCGGACCUACGACCAGGGUUUCGUGUACUACCGGCCCGCGGGCGGCGGCGUGGGCGCGGGGGCGGCGGCCGUGGCCUCGGCGGGGGUCAUCUACCCCUACCAGCCCCGGGCGCGCUACGAGGAGUACGGCGGCGGCGAAGAGCUGCCCGAGUACCCGCCUCAGGGCUUCUACCCGGCCCCCGAGAGGCCCUACGUGCCGCCGCCGCCGCCGCCCCCCGACGGCCUGGACCGCCGCUACUCGCACAGUCUGUACAGCGAGGGCACCCCCGGCUUCGAGCAGGCCUACCCUGACCCCGGUCCCGAGGCGGCGCAGGCCCAUGGCGGAGACCCACGCCUGGGCUGGUACCCGCCCUACGCCAACCCGCCGCCCGAGGCGUACGGGCCGCCGCGCGCGCUGGAGCCGCCCUACCUGCCGGUGCGCAGCUCCGACACGCCCCCGCCGGGUGGGGAGCGGAACGGCGCGCAGCAGGGCCGCCUCAGCGUGGGCAGCGUGUACCGGCCCAACCAGAACGGCCGCGGUCUCCCUGACUUGGUCCCAGACCCCAACUAUGUGCAAGCAUCCACUUAUGUGCAGAGAGCCCACCUGUACUCCCUGCGCUGUGCUGCGGAGGAGAAGUGUCUGGCCAGCACAGCCUAUGCCCCUGAGGCCACCGACUACGAUGUGCGGGUGCUACUGCGCUUCCCCCAGCGCGUGAAGAACCAGGGCACAGCAGACUUCCUCCCCAACCGGCCACGGCACACCUGGGAGUGGCACAGCUGCCACCAGCAUUACCACAGCAUGGACGAGUUCAGCCACUACGACCUACUGGAUGCAGCCACAGGCAAGAAGGUGGCCGAGGGCCACAAGGCCAGUUUCUGCCUGGAGGACAGCACCUGUGACUUCGGCAACCUCAAGCGCUAUGCAUGCACCUCUCAUACCCAGGGCCUGAGCCCAGGCUGCUAUGACACCUACAAUGCGGACAUCGACUGCCAGUGGAUCGACAUAACCGACGUGCAGCCUGGGAACUACAUCCUCAAGGUGCACGUGAACCCAAAGUAUAUUGUUUUGGAGUCUGACUUCACCAACAACGUGGUGAGAUGCAACAUUCACUACACAGGUCGCUACGUUUCUGCAACAAACUGCAAAAUUGUCCAAUCCUGAUCUCCGGGAGGGACAGAUGGCCAAUCUCUCCCCUUCCAAAGCAGGCCCUGCUCCCCGGGCAGCCUCCCGCCGAGGGGCCCAGCCCCCAACCCACAGGCACGGAGGGGCAUCCCUCCCUGCCGGCCUCAGGGAGCGAACGUGGAUGAAAACCACAGGGAUUCCGGACGCCAGACCCCAUUUUAUACUUCACUUUUCUCUACAGUGUUGUUUUGUUGUUGUUGGUUUUUAUUUUUUAUACUUUGGCCAUACCACAGAGCUAGAUUGCCCAGGUCUGGGCUGAAUAAAACAAGGUUUUUCUAC
RNAcentral lists this unclassified non-coding RNA (2361 nucleotides) under Homo sapiens (human). Lineage: Eukaryota; Metazoa; Chordata; Mammalia; Primates; Hominidae. The record is from RNAcentral.